This 432-nucleotide ribosomal RNA is filed under the name uncultured bacterium. RNAcentral describes it as "partial 16S ribosomal RNA". It matches the Rfam family "Bacterial small subunit ribosomal RNA", at positions 29 to 506 of the family's 1533-position model. The record is from RNAcentral.
AACGAACGCUGGCGGCAUGCCUAACACAUGCAAGUCGAACGAGACCUUCGGGUCUAGUGGCGCACGGGUGCGUAACGCGUGGGAACCUGCCCUUAGGUUCGGAAUAACUCCCCGAAAGGGGUGCUAAUACCGGAUAAUGUCUUCGGACCAAAGAUUUAUCGCCUUUGGAUGGGCUCGCGUUGGAUUAGCUAGUUGGUAGGGUAAAAGCCUGCCAAGGCGACGAUCCAUAGCUGGUCUGAGAGGAUGAUCAGCCACACUGGGACUGAGACACGACCCAGACUCCUACGGGAGGCAGCAGUGGGGAAUAUUGGACAAUGGGCGAAAGCCUGAUCCAGCAAUGCCGCGUGAGUGAUGAAGGCCUUAGGGUUGUAAAGCUCUUUUACCCGGGAUGAUAAUGACAGUACCGGGAGAAUAAGCUCCGGCUAACUCCGU